UAAGGAAUAUUGGUCAAUGGACGCAAGUCUGAACCAGCCAUGCCGCGUGGAGGAUGAAGGCCCUCUGGGUUGUAAACUUCUUUUAUAUGGGACGAAACCCUCUCAUUCUUGAGAGACUGACGGUACCAUAGGAAUAAGCACCGGCUAACUCCGUGCCAGCAGCCGCGGUAAUACGGAGGGUGCAAGCGUUAUCCGGAUUCACUGGGUUUAAAGGGUGCGUAGGAGGGCAGGUAAGUCAGUGGUGAAAUCCCCGAGCUUAACUUGGGAACUGCCGUUGAUACUAUCUGUCUUGAAUAUUGUGGAGGUGAGCGGAAUAUGUCAUGUAGCGGUGAAAUGCUUAGAUAUGACAUAGAACACCAAUUGCGAAGGCAGCUCGCUACACAAAAUAUUGACUCUGAGGCACGAAAAGCGUGGGGAUCAAAACAGGAUAGAUACCCUGGUAGUCCACGCCCUAAAACGAUGGAUACUCGACGUACGCGAUACACAGUGUGUGUCUGAGCGAAAAGCAUUAAAGUAUCCCAACCUGGGGAAAGUACGACCGCAAGGUUGAAAACUUAAAGGAAUUGACGGGGUCAUAGCUGUUUCCU
RNAcentral lists this ribosomal RNA (587 nucleotides) under uncultured bacterium. Its description in RNAcentral is "partial 16S ribosomal RNA". It matches the Rfam family "Bacterial small subunit ribosomal RNA", at positions 355 to 1375 of the family's 1533-position model. The record is from RNAcentral.